Transfer RNA from Camelus ferus (Wild Bactrian camel), 72 nucleotides. It matches the Rfam family "tRNA". Rfam says of the family: Transfer RNA (tRNA) molecules are approximately 80 nucleotides in length. The record is from Rfam. NCBI's taxonomy places the organism in Eukaryota, Metazoa, Chordata, Mammalia, Artiodactyla, Camelidae.
GAGGAUAUAGCUCAGUGGUAGGGUACGUGCUUAACAUACGUGAGGUCCUGGGUUCAAUCCCCAGUACCUCCA